Molecule: long non-coding RNA, 255 nt
Organism: Mustela erminea (ermine)
Lineage: Eukaryota; Metazoa; Chordata; Mammalia; Carnivora; Mustelidae
Exons: 3
Source: RefSeq, a predicted model, not a curated record
AUUCAUUCCCUGCCCCCAACUCUGGGCAACCACUGAGCUUUCUACUGUUUUAAUGUCUAUGAUUUGGCCUUUCCCAGAUGUCAUAGACACUGCAUAAUGUUCCAUUGUGUGGACGUGCCAGUUUACUUAUCCAAUCACCCGCUGAAGGACAUCUUGGCUGCCUCCAAGUUUUGAGAGAGAGAAAGAGAAAGCCCACAUGUGCAACCACAAGCAAGGAGGAUGGCAGGCAGAAGAAAAGGGAGAAGCAGACUCCCC